This 968-nucleotide unclassified non-coding RNA is filed under the name Hevea brasiliensis (rubber tree). Lineage: Eukaryota; Viridiplantae; Streptophyta; Magnoliopsida; Malpighiales; Euphorbiaceae. The record is from RNAcentral.
AUUUGAACCACUGUUUUUCUGUUCAAUUUUCUUCCAUUAUUAUUUAUUUGAAGCACUGUUUUUCUUUUCAAUUUCUUUCCCAUCAUACUACUACUACUACUACUACUUCUUUUUUGGAAGUUGGUCUAUACUGAAGUAUGUACAGAUUGGCAUAAAGCCCAAAAAACUCUUAACAAUACGAAAAUAUUUAAUUCAACUCCUAAUUAAUCGUUGCAUGCAAUUAAGCUAUUGAAAUACUAUUUUUUAUUCAAUCAAUAGUAGCCUAAUUGUUGGUGUGCAUGCCUUGUUCUGUGUCUAGGUAUAGGGUUAAGGUCUUGUCAACACUUCUCGUUCAUCUGAUAACAGCAACAACAUCUAAGUAUUAAUUCCAAACUAGUUAGAGUCAACUAUAUGGAUUCUUUUUCGUUAUCCAGCUAUAUUUGAAAUCAAUUCCACAUGAACAUCCAAAAUUAUAGAUCAUUUGAUAGUACUUCUCUUCUUUUCCUUCUCACUUCUUCUACUACUAACUUAUCACUUCUUCUACCGCUAACUUAUCACAUUUCUGUACCAAAGAAUUUGAUACUCUAUGUUAGACAUGACCCAACCAUUUUAAUCGAUCUAUUUUUAUUUUAUUUCCAAAAUGGAGGAAAAGAAAAAAAAGAGGAAAGAAAAACAUUGGAACUGCAAGGAUUGCUCUGAUUACCACCAUUGGCACCACUGCCUUUUGUAUAGCUCCACUAAUUACCACCAUCAGCAACCCUGCCUCUUGUAUAGCUCCAUUGCCAUCACCCACAAUGUAACCACUACCAAACUCCAAAUCUGCACCAGAAAACAAAUAAAAGGUAUACAAAAAAAAAGAGAAAGAAAAACAAGGUAAUAUUUCUCAAGAACAUGCAAGCACCAGUUGUGCAACACUAAUAAAAUGAAGACUUAAUUUCUACUUUUUUUUUUGGUGCUUUGUAUUAUUGCUUCACUUAGCUUCUGGUUUA